This 813-nucleotide ribosomal RNA is filed under the name uncultured bacterium. Its description in RNAcentral is "bacterial SSU rRNA". It matches the Rfam family "Bacterial small subunit ribosomal RNA", at positions 681 to 1503 of the family's 1533-position model. The record is from RNAcentral.
GUGAAAUGCGUAGAUAUCGGGAGGAACACCAGUGGCGAAGGCGGCAACCUGGCCUGUUACUGACGCUGAGACGCGAAAGUGUGGGGAGCAAACCGGCUUAGAUACCCGGGUAGUCCACACCCUAAACGUUGCGAACUAGGUGUUGGCAAGAUUGACCUUGUCAGUGCUGAAGCUAACGCAUUAAGUUCGCCGCCUGGGAAGUACGGUCGCAAGAUUAAAACUCAAAGGAAUAGGCGGGGGCCCGCACAAGCAGCGGAGCGUGUGGUUUAAUUCGAUGCUACGCGAAGAACCUUACCUGGGCUUGACAUGUUUCAGAAAUCCCCAUGAAAGUGGGGCCCUCCCGCAAGGGACUGUUACACAGGUAGUGCAUGGCUGUCGUCAGCUCGUGCCGUGAGGUGUUGGGUUAAGUCCCGCAACGAGCGCAACCCCUGUCCUCAGUUGAAUAUUCUGGGGAGACUGCCAGGCGAAACCUGGAGGAAGGUGGGGAUGAAGUCAAGUCAGCAUGCCCUUUAUGUCCAGGGCUACACACACGCUACAAUGGCCGGUACAACGGGUUCCGAAACGGUGACGUUAAGGCAAUCCCUUAAAACCGGUCUCAGUUCGGAUUGCAGGCUGCAACUCGCCUGCAUGAAGUUGGAGUUGCUAGUAACCGCCGGUCAGCACACGGCGGUGAAUACGUUCCCGGGCCUUGCACUCACCGCCCGUCACAUCACCCGAGUCUGGUGCUCCCGAAGUCGCUGGCUGAACCCGUAAGGGACAGAGGUGCCUAAGGAGUGCCCGGUAAGGGGGGUGAAGUCGUAACAAGGUAACCGU